GCUCCGGUGGCCUAGUGGUUAGUGCGUUCGACUCGGAUGCGGGAGGUCGUGGGUACGAUCCCCGAUCGAGUCA
Potamilus streckersoni is the source of this 73-nucleotide non-coding RNA. NCBI's taxonomy places the organism in Eukaryota, Metazoa, Mollusca, Bivalvia, Unionida, Unionidae. The record is from the annotation of a GenBank genome assembly.